This 2723-nucleotide long non-coding RNA is filed under the name Homo sapiens (human). Its description in RNAcentral is "HSALNT0317208". Lineage: Eukaryota; Metazoa; Chordata; Mammalia; Primates; Hominidae. The record is from RNAcentral.
CGGGCUUGUGCGGACGUGUCUCGGGCGUGACCUUUGAGCAGCUGCGCCACCGGCUCAGCCUCGCGGCGGGGGAAACCCGAGCUCCCAACAAAACGGUUCCAUCUUUGGCUAGGCCUUUGGUAUUUCAAGGCGCUGCCGGUGGGGAGAGAUGCCGCGUGCCUGAGAGGCUCUGGGAGAUGUUAUGUGGUCAACAGGGACUGAGGCUCUUUAAGCCCUUAAAUCUCUAAGGGCUAAAUCUCCUUCCUGAUAUUCGCCCCCAAACCGGCACCAAAGAAGGCCCAGAGAGGUUUAACAACUUCCUCAGAAUCACACAGCUUCCAAAUGGUUGGGUUGGGUUUACAUUUAGGCGGUCUUGCUCCAGAGCCAGUGCUCCUAACCUUUGCAAGCCACGAACCUCAAGAAAGUGGAGAAGGAAACGCUGGGAAAUCUGGAAGUCAGACAUGAGAGCUAAUGCUGGCAGCUGUUGGGAUGUCCUCUUCCAGGAAUGGUGAUGAGUUUCCCUGGAUCCAGCCCUGGCUUGGCUGAGGUUUUUCUCACUGUAAGAAGAGGACAAUAGCCUAUGAUCUACAGUGCCCAUUCCAACUCAGAGAAUCUUUACAUCUGGAGAUCUAUAGCAGGGCUAUCCCUAGUGACAUGCGUGAAGAAGCUUGGAAAUGGUGCUGGGUAGGAGCUGAGUGUGCAGAAUGUGGAAAGGCAUUCUAAACCAAAGGAAGAACACGAGUAAAGAUGAUGAAGCAGGGAUAAGGCUAAAAUGAAAUUUGUGAUCUGAUCCACAUACAAGCACAGUGUAGUACAGCUGGAAUAUAGAGAAGAGCUUGAAGACUUAUGAGCAACUAUCCCGGUACUCUUGGAGGCUCUGCAACCACAGUUUGAGAAACUCCGCGUUCAAAGUUAAAAACUGUCACCUGAAUAGUUAAUAACAUCAAAGAUUGUGAAAGCAAGUAUAAAUAACACAGAGAUUAAAAUAAUGAGGCAGGAUCAGAAACACUGACCUGCUGUGUAAGAAGUCCAACUGCCCUGAGGCCACCAGGCUGGAGAGACCAUGUAUGGAUAGGUUCUCUGAUCAACAGUUUCUAUCAAGCCCAGCCUUCUAGCCAUCAAGCCCAGCCUUCUAGCCAUGUCCACCAAUGUGCCUGACAUGUGAGUGAAGCCAUCACAGACCCUUCAGACCAGCCCACCUGCCAGCUGAAUACUUGUCCUUGGAACAGGAGAAAGGGUUGGAAAACAAAGAUCACUUUUCUCUGGCCAAAUGGAAUCACCCAACAAAGUACCUUCCUGAUGGGCCAGCUAUUUCAGAUGAUGAAGGUUUAAGAAGCAGCAUCAUCAGCGAACUGUGUUUUGAAGAUUUGAGGGAAGGGCUGACCUCAGGAUUUUAUACUAGUUGCUGACCUCCAUAACAGCAGACAAAAUUGGAAGCAAGAGUGAUUUUGGAGGAGUCACACUUAGAUGUUUCCCUUACCUAUUUCUGUUCUGGAAAUUUAAAAAUCUUACUUCUCGUGACAGUCCUACAUGAAAAAUUAAAAAUCACAAGGAUUCAUGGAUGGAAAACUGAGACUCAGAGAAUGAUCACAUUCACAUCGUAAUAAAUCAGCAAUAGAAUUAACUUCGGGCACCCCCCAAGUCAAAACUUCAACAGCUAAGGGACACGGAUCAUGCGGCCUGCUGAACACGCCAUCAAGUGGGGCAAAGUCUUCUUUCUUUGUGAUCAGGCCAUGUUUUGUUCAGUCCUUCAGAAGAUAGAAAUUGAACACCUGACUUGUGGACAGCACCUCUAAACACUGCAGAGAGAGAUUCAGAGAUGAAUAGCCCUGGCCCUUAGGGUUCUUGCGGUCACAAGCACCGUCCAGUAAGAGCAGCCCAUGGUUAUGAGUAACAAGAGCAGACACUACGGCAGGCACUUGGUUUAGGGACAUUGCCUUGUUUCAUCCUCACGGUGACUUCAGGAGGACAGUGCCAUCGUUACGCCGUUUAACAGAUGGUAAAACUGAGGCCCAGAGAGGGGAGUGCCUUGCUUCAGAUGACUCAGCAACGCAGUGGCUGAGCAAGGAUUUGAACUCAGGCAGAAUGGUGGCAGAGCCUGUUUGCCUAACUUCUAAAUUUCCCUAACUCUCUAGAACAGAGGGUAGUAGGAGUGCAGCAGACAGGACAACUAACCCUGCCUGGAAAAGUCAUGGUGGGCUUCCCGGAGGAGGCGUCCUUAGGCUGGGGCUUGAAGACGAGGUAUUUACCAGACAAAUAGUGGAGAAGAAGGCUGUCUUAAACAGAAAAAACUUCUUAUGUGGUCCUGGGUUCUGAGGGCCCAGCUCUUCUCACCCUCCUUCUCCGAGGAGUGGGGGAACGGAAGUGCAGAGCCUUCGUGUUUUACCCUCCUUCUCCGAGGAGUGGGGAACGGAAGUGCAGAGCCUUUAUGUUUUGUGACAGUGGAAUCCCCUUCGCGGGCCACCUCCUCGAUCUGAAAGGCUCUAUCUGCAGCUACUGAAUUCCCUUCAGCUCGUAAGUCUUAAUAGCAAUGUCAUCCCCUUCUGAAAACUUUCCUGGACUGCUCCUUAUCUUGCUGCCGGUGAUUGAAAGCAAUCCUUUCCUCUCUCUUCCCUCACACCUGCCUGUUUGCAUUAAAGUUCUUGAGUUGGACUCCAUCAGUCUUUAUUUUUUAUUUGUUUAAUUUAUUUUUUAGAGACAGGGUCUCACAAUGUCACCCAGGCUGGAGAGCCGUGGCAUGAUAA